CCUAAUGCACAGAUAGCUGACAUCAACUUCCGUCAGGCAGCUCCUGGAGAUCGAACCUUUCGAUUGUAACUGGGACAAUUUGCAUAGUGAUUCCCUUUCAGAGCUUUCCCGGGUCCAUAACUAGCCCAGGCAGCUAUUCAAAUGCAAGUUGCAUCCCCCAAAUGCAAGGCUGGCCUGACCAAAAAGAGCCACACGGCGCCGGGAGAGGCGAGACUCGCGCCACGGUUCUCAUCCUUCUCUUUUCUCCUUCCUUCUCCCUUUCUCUUCUCCGGUUCCUGAUUUAGCUGGGAGCUAUUUAUUUAUGACUACAAAUGUGUGUGCGCGAGCCAGAGAGAGAGGGAGGGAACUGAUCUUUGCUUGGACUUAAAGAUGGAGACGAAGGAGCCGGAGGGAAUUGGGGUCUGUGUGUCUGGCUCAGACCCUAGGCGCUGAGGGGGGCCGCUGGGCAUCAAGCCCAAGGUCUUUCUUCCCGGCGCCCCGUAUUCCGCGACCUGGCAGGAAUCCGUGGGCCAAAGAGCGCCCCGGCUGAUCCGCCUGCCCCGGGCCGGGCUACAAGGAAAGUCUUGGAGCAGGGGGCCGUCCCGUCCCUGUCUUUAAAAUGAGCGCAAUAAAAGGGGCAAAUCCUCGAACGCGAACCUGAUCGCAUGUCACAGAAGCAACUUGCCAUGAAAUCCGCUAAUGCGCCGCGACUCGCCCACCAGGGAAGAGAAGAAAUGGAGCCCUUGCAGUUAAAUUAUUACUGGCUUCUACAGGGUUAAUUUGAUGCAAAUAAUCUACUCUCCUGUCAACAUUGAAGGAAAAGGUAGUGGCCUGUGGAACAACAGGAAGAGCCAGUCAGGUAGUGACAAAACUCUGCCUCUGGGUUCUGAAGAAGGUAUCGGAAGGCUCUGAACUUAGCUUUGGGUUUGUUGCACCGCAUUCCCUCUCUUAAAACAGUAACUCAAGAUGUAAGUAAAAGUGUUUUCAUUUUUUAUUGAUCCCACUAACAUCUUUCAUUAUCCAGCAUGUAGCCACAGCAAAUUAUUGCUCAUUUGAUACCAAGAAUUCUAUUGACCAUCGCUUUCGUUGGAGAGAGAAUUCUAACUACUAGCUGCUCUGUAGUCAGUCAGAGCUGAGGCUGAGAACACUACACAGCUAAAACAAGUAAAUUGAGCCCUCUGCCUCCAGGAAUUGAUGGAGAUGUGUUCAUUACAUUGGGCCACGUGAACAUGCAUAGAAAUCUGCUUUUUGCUCUGCCAGUCGGCAUUGCCCCCAUGCAAUCAAAAGGUCGGCCCCUUUGGAACAGAACUGUCUAAUUGGAGGGCUGGACAUUCGUUUGCCUCUCCUGUAUCCCUUCUGGCAACUUCUUUUCAGCUCUGGCCAGGUUGGGUAAUGAAAUGAUGCAUUAGAAGAUACCAAAUGUGGACACAAUUAUUAAAACCGCGCCUCCUUUAAAGAAAAAAAAACAACUCCUAAAAUGUCUAGAUGAGUGACUUUAUGUAGUCACUCAUAAUUUCCUAAAUAAAAUUGCUCCAUUCCCACCCCCUCAAAACUCCAUGUCAUUAGAUACAGGCUAAAUUGUCGGGGGACUGGGGAGCUCUAAGAUCUGUGUCUGUUCUCCCUGGUCGGCAAUGGGCAUCCAGCCUCAAUUACAGGGGAGACUGCUCCAGCGCUUGCUUCAGCCAGUGGUGCAGAGAAGUCUGUGUGCCUAGAGAAGGCCUGACCUUCGACCCUCCAGGCUGGAGAGGGAGGUUCUUGGGUGAAGAUGCUGGAGAAAGGAUCUGAUAGAGCAAUGGGAGAGGCCAGGUUUGUUCCCUUAGAAGCUAAUGGCAGAACCUGUCUUCAUGCUGAAAGGAGCUAGUGCUGCCCCACAGCAAGAACCACCGGACACCUGGACCUUAGGGCGUCUUCUCCAUCCCCAAGGUGGCCUAGACAGACUUUUCUGUAGGGAUCAACACGUCCUCCAUUCAGGCGUCUGAGGGAAAGGCAAAGGACUCUGGGGGUGCAUUGGCCUGAACAAGACAGGUGCAAAAACAGAAAUUCAAGCCUGUUUGGAUGGGGAAGAGAGGAAUGCUGUCAGAUUUCCAAGGAACCAAGGAUCCACAUCUAUUUCUCCUUAAGCCCUUGAUCCCAAUAGGAGAGCAAGAUAACCUUGGAGAAACCAUGCCCGUGGAGAUUCCUCGGAGGAGAUGGUUGGGUGUCAUUUCCACAACUACCAGGAGAUAAGCCUUCUCGGUUGGGUUCCAGAACAAAAAGGAGGACCAGUUACUAAUUUCACAAAUGAAUCCUGGCAUGUGUAUCCCAAACAGCGUCAAUUCUCAAUUGGAAGGUGCAUUCAGGGGAUCUAAGGAACCCAGCUUUGUAUUAUUUUCCUAAUGAUGCUGUUACAUGUGUGUGAAACCACUGGCACUCUCGUGGGCCACGCUCCAUAACCUUUCAUGGUCAGGGAGUCACUUUGUUCCAGUGUGGGCAGUGAACUAGUGGGAGUGUGUGCUUCACAUGCAGGAUGCUCACCCAAAAGUAGUAGACUGAAUUGGUUUGAGGAUGAUGGGAAACAUAAGAUGAAAUAUACACUGCGGUUUUUUGUCUUUGCUUUUUUAGUUUUUCUAUUUUGUUUUUAAUGAAGAUAAAUAACCUUGGGCUCAGGUGUAAUCAGUCCUCCCAAACACAGUGAUAUUCCUAGAAUGUGCACAUCACCCAUAACACUUGAAGAUUCCAGCCCAAAGGUUUUGGAAACCCCUUUUCUGGAUUCCAGCCCGGAUUCUGAAAACCUCUCAAGCCUCCGAGGGGAAGAGAACUCACCCCACCAAGCAGCUGAAACUACACACUCACAGCACACACAGGGGUCUAAGGCUGGAUUCGAUCAGGAAGGCCAGCUGAGCUAACCAGAGAGUGUAUGACUCUACUGGAAACCAAAAACCAAUAAGUCAGCAACACUCUAAAGUCAUUUUGGGGAACAAGACCUGGAACUUGAGUUUGAGUUGAAAAGUUAGGGACAAGGGACAGAUCACCCAGCAUUCCUCUGGAACAAGGCAAACUGAGAACUAACCAGCUGCACUGGCAUUGCAGCAAAUUAGAGAUUAGGAAAUUUAUUUCCCUUCUACAUACAGUAAGACACAAAUCCUUCAAUCUGGAGCUCACCUCUGUGCAGGGAGCAUCGGGCUCCCUACAUUGCACUUUCCAAGUGGCCCACUAGCCUUCUCCAGGUUUUGCCAGGCAAAUGAAGCAAGAAGUACUCGAUAGUAAAUUAUUUUGUUCAGGCUUCUGUCUUUUUAUGAAAAUAAAAGCCAACACUUUGUCAUUUUUAAUCACAUAAGCAGACAAUAAAUCUAAUUUUGAUAUUGA
Molecule: RNA transcript, 3324 nt
Organism: Ictidomys tridecemlineatus (thirteen-lined ground squirrel)
Lineage: Eukaryota; Metazoa; Chordata; Mammalia; Rodentia; Sciuridae
Source: RefSeq, a predicted model, not a curated record